AGCUCCAAUAGCGUAUAUUAAUGUUGUUGCAGUUAAAAGCUCGUAGUUGGAUUUCGAAUGGGAGCGAUUGGUCGGCGCCGCAAGGCGUCGUUACUGAGUCGUCUCCGGUUCUUUUUCGGAAUUCGGCGUGGCUGGCAUUGAGUUGUCGGUGGCGUUGGUUCCGUCGUUUACUGUGAACAAAUUAGAGUGUUCAAAGCAAGGUGUUGCUUGAAUACAUUAGCAUGGAAUAAUAAGAUAGGGCUUUGGUGGUUCUGCUCUUCGGGGUAGAUAUUUUGUUGGUUUGCACAUCAAAGCAAUGAUUAAUAGGAGCAGUUGGGGGUAUUCGUAUUCAAUUGUCAGAGGUGAAAUUCUUGGAUUUCUAGAAGACGAACUACUGCGAAAGCAUUUACCA
Molecule: ribosomal RNA, 391 nt
Filed under: uncultured eukaryote
Lineage: Eukaryota
Description: SSU rRNA
Rfam family: Eukaryotic small subunit ribosomal RNA
Source: RNAcentral